This 322-nucleotide unclassified non-coding RNA is filed under the name soil metagenome. RNAcentral's name for it is "partial contains 5.8S ribosomal RNA, internal transcribed spacer 2, and large subunit ribosomal RNA". The stretch from base 1 to 120 matches the Rfam family "5.8S ribosomal RNA", at positions 35 to 154 of the family's 154-position model. The record is from RNAcentral.
GAUGAAGAACGCAGCGAAAUGCGAUAAGUAGUGUGAAUUGCAGAAUUCAGUGAAUCAUCGAAUCUUUGAACGCACAUUGCGCCCCUUGGUAUUCCAUGGGGCAUGCCUGUUCGAGCGUCAUUUGUACCUUCAAGCUUUGCUUGGUGUUGGGUGUUUGUCCCUCGGGACUCGCCUUAAAGUCAUUGGCAGCCAGUGUUUUGGUUUUGAAGCGCAGCACAAGUCGCGAUUCAAGGCUAUCCGCCCGCUUCCACAAGCCUUUUUCACUUUUGACCUCGGAUCAGGUAGGGAUACCCGCUGAACUUAAGCAUAUCAAAAGCGGAGA